This 340-nucleotide ribosomal RNA is filed under the name Graphis scripta. RNAcentral describes it as "partial small subunit ribosomal RNA". It matches the Rfam family "Bacterial small subunit ribosomal RNA", at positions 763 to 1171 of the family's 1533-position model. The record is from RNAcentral. Lineage: Eukaryota; Fungi; Ascomycota; Lecanoromycetes; Ostropales; Graphidaceae.
GGAGAAAAAAGAGGAUUAGNNNCCNNNNUAUAGNGGGCAGACAAUGAUGAGUGUCAUAGGUAAGAUNNAUGUAUAAAUGAAAGUGUAAGCACUCCACCUCAAGAGUAACGUGGCAACAUGGGAACUGAAAUCAUUAGGCCGUUUCUGAAACUCGUAGUGAAGUAUGUUGUUUAAUUUGUAGGUACGCAAAUAACCUUACCACAAUUUGAAUAGCUUGUACAAGCGUUGCACGGCUNUUUUUAGUUAAUGUUGUGAAACUUUGGUUAGGUCCAUUAAAUNGAGUUANNCCCUUACUUUAUUUAAUAUAAAGUAAUUCGCCACAGUAUGGGUAGCGAUAUAA